RNAcentral lists this transfer RNA (74 nucleotides) under Zootermopsis nevadensis. It matches the Rfam family "tRNA". Rfam says of the family: Transfer RNA (tRNA) molecules are approximately 80 nucleotides in length. Lineage: Eukaryota; Metazoa; Arthropoda; Insecta; Blattodea; Termopsidae. The record is from Rfam by way of RNAcentral.
GGAAAUGUCAUUUCCAAUGUCAGAACACAAGCCUUGUAAGCCUGGGGUCCCGGGUUCAAUUCCCGGUGUUGCUC